Molecule: ribosomal RNA, 253 nt
Filed under: uncultured bacterium
Lineage: Bacteria
Description: partial 16S ribosomal RNA
Rfam family: Bacterial small subunit ribosomal RNA
Source: RNAcentral
UACGGAGGAUGCAAGCGUUAUCCGGAAUUAUUGGGCGUAAAGCGUCCGCAGGUGGCACUUCAAGUCUGUCGUCAAAGACCGGGGCUUAACCCUGGAAAGGCGAUGGAAACUGAAAGGCUAGAGAGAGGUAGGGGUAGAGGGAAUUCCCAGUGUAGCGGUGAAAUGCGUAGAGAUUGGGAAGAACAUCGGUGGCGAAAGCGCCCUACUGGACCUCAUCUGACACUCAGGGACGAAAGCUAGGGGAGCGAAUGGG